Molecule: long non-coding RNA, 415 nt
Organism: Cannabis sativa
Lineage: Eukaryota; Viridiplantae; Streptophyta; Magnoliopsida; Rosales; Cannabaceae
Exons: 3
Source: RefSeq, a predicted model, not a curated record
UUGUGUGUUUUGGCCUUAAGGGCACUUUGGUCAUUUGACCUUUAUUUUCUAUGAUGGAUAAAGAUGAAUUUCUUUAAAAAAAAAAUGGAUUAAUUUCUGGUGUUAUUCCUCUCUCUUACCCGACCCUCUCUCCCUCUCUUGCUCUCUUGAUUUUCAAUUUUAAGGAUUGAAGAAAAGUGCUUGAUGUUUGGUGGUUUUGGAGCUUGAUAAUUGUAGAACUUUGAGCUUACUCUUGGUUUGAGUUUGAGGAUUACCGGCACCUGGUCAGGAGCACCCGGGGAUUUGGAAUCUCUACUAUUGCGGGACAACAGGAAAGGGUAAGGCAUUAGCUGAUCAGCCAUGAGUUUCAGGAGCAGGGCGAAGAAUGUACAUGUUCAUGCCACUUCAGACCAAGCGGGUUAUGGGUCUAACAGUG